CGGGUGUGCACCGGCUGUAUUAAUUUACUGGCCGAGUAAACAUUCACGGAGAGUUUGAUCCUGGCUCAGGACGAACGCUGGCGGCGUGCUUAACACAUGCAAGUCGAACGAUGAACCACUUCGGUGGGGAUUAGUGGCGAACGGGUGAGUAACACGUGGGCAAUCUGCCCUUCACUCUGGGACAAGCCCUGGAAACGGGGUCUAAUACCGGAUAACACUUCCGUUCUCCUGGACGGGGGUUAAAAGCUCCGGCGGUGAAGGAUGAGCCCGCGGCCUAUCAGCUUGUUGGUGAGGUAAUGGCUCACCAAGGCGACGACGGGUAGCCGGCCUGAGAGGGCGACCGGCCACACUGGGACUGAGACACGGCCCAGACUCCUACGGGAGGCAGCAGUGGGGAAUAUUGCACAAUGGGCGAAAGCCUGAUGCAGCGACGCCGCGUGAGGGAUGACGGCCUUCGGGUUGUAAACCUCUUUCAGCAGGGAAGAAGCGAAAGUGACGGUACCUGCAGAAGAAGCGCCGGCUAACUACGUGCCAGCAGCCGCGGUAAUACGUAGGGCGCAAGCGUUGUCCGGAAUUAUUGGGCGUAAAGAGCUCGUAGGCGGCUUGUCACGUCGGGUGUGAAAGCCCGGGGCUUAACCCCGGGUCUGCAUUCGAUACGGGCUAGCUAGAGUGUGGUAGGGGAGAUCGGAAUUCCUGGUGUAGCGGUGAAAUGCGCAGAUAUCAGGAGGAACACCGGUGGCGAAGGCGGAUCUCUGGGCCAUUACUGACGCUGAGGAGCGAAAGCGUGGGGAGCGAACAGGAUUAGAUACCCUGGUAGUCCACGCCGUAAACGGUGGGAACUAGGUGUUGGCGACAUUCCACGUCGUCGGUGCCGCAGCUAACGCAUUAAGUUCCCCGCCUGGGGAGUACGGCCGCAAGGCUAAAACUCAAAGGAAUUUGACGGGGGCCCGCACAAGCAGCGGAGCAUGGUGGCUUAAUUUCGACGCAACGCGAAGAACCUUACCCAAGGCUUGACAUACACCGGAAACGUCUGGAGACAGGCGCC
This 1045-nucleotide ribosomal RNA is filed under the name Streptomyces osmaniensis. RNAcentral's name for it is "bacterial SSU rRNA". It matches the Rfam family "Bacterial small subunit ribosomal RNA", at positions 1 to 1014 of the family's 1533-position model. The record is from RNAcentral. Lineage: Bacteria; Bacillati; Actinomycetota; Actinomycetes; Kitasatosporales; Streptomycetaceae.